RNAcentral lists this ribosomal RNA (391 nucleotides) under Pseudocalanus sp. Its description in RNAcentral is "partial small subunit ribosomal RNA". It matches the Rfam family "Eukaryotic small subunit ribosomal RNA", at positions 582 to 975 of the family's 1831-position model. Lineage: Eukaryota; Metazoa; Arthropoda; Copepoda; Calanoida; Clausocalanidae. The record is from RNAcentral.
AUUCCAGCUCCAAUAGCGUAUAUUAAAGUUGUUGUGGUUAAAAAGCUCGUAGUUGGAUCUCGGCGGUCUGAGGGCGGUUCGCUUCAGAGCGCUACUGCCCUAUAGACCGUAGUUUUGCCAGAGGUCUCAGGGUGCUCUUAACCGAGUGUCUUGCGAUGCUGGCAGGUUUACUUUGAAAAAAUUAGAGUGCUCAAAGCAGGCUUUUACGCCUGAAUAUUCGUGCAUGGAAUAAUAGAAUAGGAAGUCGUUUCUAUUUUGUUGGUUUUCGGAAAUCGACUUAAUGAUUAAUAGGGACAGUCGGGGGCAUUUGUAUUUAAGUGUCAGAGGUGAAAUUCUUGGAUUGCUUAAAGACUAACUUCUGCGAAAGCAUCUGCCAAGGAUGUUUUCAUUG